UUAAAAAGCUCGUAGUUGGAUUUCUGGCGGGGACCCAAGUACCCCUGGUGGGUGUGCUCGGGCCCGGCCAUCCUUCUGUAAACUUUCGCGCGUCCUUCACCGGUCGGCAAAGGGAUCAGAUAAUUUACCUUGAGAAAAUUAAAGUGUUUCAGGCAGGCUUAGCCGGAAUACAUUAGCAUGGAAUAAUGGAAUAGGACUGAGGUCUCGUUGUUGGUUACGCGGACUACAGUAAUGAUUAGUAGGGACAGUUGGGGGCAUUAGUAUUUAUUAGCUAGAGGUGGAAUUCUCUAAUUUGAUAAAGACUAACUUAUGCGAAAGCAUUUGCCAAGGAUGUUUUCAUUAAUCAAGAACGAAAGUUAGGGGAUCAAAGACGAUCAGAUACCGUCCUAGUCUUAACCAUAAACCAUGCCGACUAGAGAUUGGAGGUCGUUAUCCAUACGACUCCUUCAGCACCUUAUGAGAAAUCAAAGUCUUUGGGUUCCGGGGGGAGUAUGGUCGCAAGGCUGAAACUUAAAGGAAUUGACGGAAGGGCACCACCAGGAGUGGAGCCUGCGGCUUAAUUUGACUCAACACGGGGAAACUUACCAGGUCCAGACAUAGUAAGGAUUGACAGAUUGAUAGCUCUUUCU
RNAcentral lists this ribosomal RNA (629 nucleotides) under uncultured marine eukaryote. RNAcentral's name for it is "bacterial SSU rRNA". It matches the Rfam family "Eukaryotic small subunit ribosomal RNA", at positions 619 to 1262 of the family's 1831-position model. The record is from RNAcentral.